Molecule: unclassified non-coding RNA, 25 nt
Filed under: Mus musculus (house mouse)
Lineage: Eukaryota; Metazoa; Chordata; Mammalia; Rodentia; Muridae
Description: oocyte_clustered_small_RNA4415
Source: RNAcentral
UGCUUUUUCACUGUGCAUGCACGGA